Molecule: long non-coding RNA, 13784 nt
Organism: Mirounga angustirostris (Northern elephant seal)
Lineage: Eukaryota; Metazoa; Chordata; Mammalia; Carnivora; Phocidae
Exons: 3
Source: RefSeq, a predicted model, not a curated record
AAUUCAAGCCAAAAAUUACAAAACAUCCUUUUCCCUCUGACCAAGUGCUUGGUUCGGAGACCAUCCCCUUCCCACGUCGGUGAUCUCAGUGCCUGCCCUCCCCUUCCUUCCGCGGAACCCCUCCCUGAGCAGCGGCAAGCACUGGCUUCCCAAGGAGAGAUGAUGGAUCCGUGGUAGCAGGUGGUGCAAACGGCGGCGAGAAACGACCCUGGGGACCCCAGUCCGAGAGGAGGCUGACCUGGAUGGCUCCCUUGCAUUUGUGACCAGAGGCCACUAGCAGGAAAUCAGAGCCACGGAAGAGAGUGAUAUGAGGUGCUUAUUCUCCCUGCUCCUCUGCGGCGGGCCAAAUGUGUCCCCUGACUGCAGGCCACAGCUCCUGUCAGACGGCCGUCUGUCUCCACACAGCUUCUGUCCCCCUAACCCUUGAGGCCUGGGGUGGUGCCGGAGUCUCCCCCACCGGUCAGCUCUGUGAAACGGACACUCUGAGGUCUCUCAAACUCUACUCAGACCUUCGUCUACAGUCCCUUGAUCAAACACUCAAAUUGGAGAGGGUCCUGACUGAUACACGUGGGUGGCUUUAUUCAUUACAGAAUGAAAAAUCUAUAUGAAAGGAAGGUGAAAUUUAGGAAGAUGGUGUAUGAGUUUCUUGUGGUUGCUACAAGAAAUGACCACAUAUUCAGUCGCUUCAAACAGCAGAAAUGUAUUCUUUCACCGGUCUGGAGAUCAGAAGUCCAGAAUCAGUGUCACUGGGCAGAAAUCGAGGUCUCAACGGGGCCAUGCUCCUCCAAAGGCUGUAGGAGAGAAUCUGCGCUUCGACUUCUUCAGCUUCUGGUGGCUGCCACUAUUCCACAGCUUGUGGGCACAUCACUUCAGUAUCUGCCUCUGUGGUCGCAUUGCCUGUUCCUCUUCUGUGUGUGAAAUCUUCCUCUUCGUCCCUUUGAUAAGGACUCUUGUGAUUGCAUUCAGGGCCCACCCAGAUAAUCCAAGAUAAUCUGUCCGUUUCAAGAUCCUUAAUUCCAUUUGCCAAUAAAAUAACAUUUUUCUAAGUAAGGUCACAUUUAUAGGUUCCAGGGAGUGGGACCUGAUAUCUUUGGGGUCAUUGUUCAGCUUACUACAGAGAGUGACAGAGGCACUGAUGGAUCCCUUCAGAACAAUUUUAUUUUAAGAUUUUAUUUAUUUAUUUACUUACUUAUUUGAGAGAGAGUGAGCAAGCAAGAGAGACAGAGAGAGAACAAGCAGGGGGGAGGGGCAGAGGGAGAAGCAGACUCCCCACUGAGCAGGGAGCCCGACGUGGGGCUCGAUCCCAGGACCCUGGGAUCAUGACCUGAGCUGAAGUCAGAUGCUUAACCCACUGAGCCAUCCAGGAGCCCCUAUUUUUGCAUUUCACAUUUAGGUCUGUGAUUGAAUUUGAAUUAAUUCUCUGAAGGGUAUAAGGUCCAGUUGUUCCAGCACCAUAUGUCGAAAACACUAUCUUUUUUGUUUGCUUGUUUGUUUUGUGUGUGUGUCUAUUUUUUUUUAGAUUUUAACUAUUUUAUUGGGUUAAUGUAUUUUAUUUUAUUUUUUAAUUUUUUAUUAACAUAUAAUGUAUUAUUUGUUUCAGAGGUACAGGUCUGUGAUUCAUCAGUCUUACACAAUUCACAGCGCUCACCAUAGUACAUACCCUCCCCAAUGUCCAUCACCCAGCCACCCCAUCCCUCCCACCCCCUCCACUCCAGCAACCCUCAGUUUGUUUCCUGAGAUUUAGAGUCUCUUAAUGGCUUGCCUCCCUCUCUGGUUUCGUCUUGUUUCAUUUUUCCCUCCUUUCCCCUAUGAUCCUCUGUCUUGUUUCUCAAAAUCCUCGUAUCAGUGAGAUUAUAUGAUACUUAUCUUCAUCUGAUUGACUUAUUUCGCUUAGCAUAAUACCCUCUAGUUCCAUCCACAUCAUUGCAAAUGGCAAGAUUUCAUUUUUUUGAGGCUGCAUAAUAUUCCAUUGUAUAUAUAUAUACAACAUCUUCUUUAUGCAUUCAUCUGUUGAUGGACAUCUUGGCUCUUUACAUAGUUUGGCUAUUGUGGACAUUGCUGCUACAAACAUUGGGGUGCACGUGCCCCUCCAGAUCACUACAUUUGUAUCUUUGGGGUAAACACCCAGUAGAGCAAUUGCUGGGUCAUAGGGUAGCUCUAUUUUCAACUUUUUGAGGAAACUCCAUACUGUUUUCUAGAGUGGCUGCACCAGCUUGCAUUCCCACCAACAGUGUAGGAGGGUUCCCUUUUCUCUGCAUCCUUGCCAACAUCUGUCGUUUCCUGACUUGUUAAUUUUAGUCAUCAUGACUGGUGUGAGGUCGUAUCUCAUUGUGGUUUUGAUUUGUAUUUCCCUAAUGGCUAGUGAUGUUGAACACUUUUUCAUGUGUCUGUUGGCCAUUUGGAUGUCUUCUUUGCAGAAAUGUCUGUUCACAUCUUCUGCCCAUUUCUUGAUUGGAUUAGUUGUUCUUUGGGUGUUGAGUUUGAUAAGUCCUUUAUAGAUUUUGGAUACUAGCCCUUUAUCUGAUCUGUCAUUUGCAAAUAUCUUCUCCCAUUCUGUCAGUUGUCUUUUGGUUUUGUUGAUUGUUUCCUUUGCUGUGCAAAAGCUUUUUAUCUUGAUGAAGUCCCAAUAGUUCAUUUUUGCCCUUGCUUCCCUUGCCUUGGACGAUGUAUCUAGGAAGAAGUUGCUGCAGCUGAGGUCGAAGAGGUUGCUGCCUGUGUUCUCCUCAAGGAUUUUGAUGGAUUCCUGUCUCACAUUGAGGUCUUUCAUCCAUUUUUUUUUUAAGAUUUUAUUUAUUUAUUUGAGAGAGAGAGAGAAUGAGAGACAGACAGCAUGAGAGGAGGAGGGUCAGAGGGAGAAGCAGACUCCCUGCCAAGCAGGGAGCCUGAUGCGGGACUCGAUCCCGGGACUCCAGGAUCAUGACCUGAGCCGAAGGCAGUCGCUUAACCAACUGAGCCACCCAGGCGCCCUCUUUCAUCCAUUUUGAGUGUAUUUUUGUGCAUGGUGUAAGGAAAUGGUUCAGUUUCAUUCUUCUGCAUGUGGCUGUCCAAUUUUCCCAACACCAUUUGUUGAAGAGACUGUCUUUUUUCCAUUGGACAUUCUUUCCUGCUUUGUCAAAGAUUAGUUGACCAUAGAGUUGAGGGUCCAUUUCUGGGCUCUCUAUUCUGUUCCAUUGAUCUAUGUGUCUGUUUUUGUGCCAGUACGAUACUGUCUUGAUGAUGACAGCUUUGUAAUAGAGCUGGAAGUCCGGAAUUGUGAUGCUGCCAGCUUUGCUUUUCUUUUUCAACAUUCCUCUGGCUAUGUGGGGUCUUUUCUGGUCCCAUACAAAUUUUAGGAUUAUUUGUUCCAUUUCUUUGAAAAAGUUGAUGGUAUUUUGAUAGGGAUUGCAUUAAAUGUGUAGAUUGCUCAAGGUAGCAUGGACAUCUUCACAAUAUUUGUUCUUCCAAUCCAUGAGCAUGGAACAUUUUUCCAUUUCUUUGUGUCUUCCUCAAUUUCUUUCAUGAGUAUUCUAUAGUUUUCUGAGUACAGAUUCUUUGCCUCUUUGGUUAGAUGUAUUCCUAGGUAUCUUGUGGUUUGGGGUGCAGUUGUAAAUAGGAUCGACUCCUUAAUUUCUCUUUCUUCUGUCUUGUUGUUGGUGUAUAGAAAUGCCACUGAUUUCUGUGCAUUGAUUUUAUAUCCUGCCACUUUACUGAAUUCCUAUAUGAGUUCUAGCAGUUUUGGGGUGGAGUCUUUUGGGUUUUCCACAUAAAGUAUCAUAUCAUCUGCAAAGAGUGAGAGUUUGACUUCUUCUUUGCCAAUUUGGAUGCCUUUUAUUUCUUUUUGUUGGAAAAGACUAUCUUUGCUCCAUUGUCUUGCCUUUGCUCCUUUGACUGAACGUAUAUGGGUCUAUUUGUAGAUGGGUCUAUUUCUGUGCUCUCUGUUCUGUUCCAUUGAUUUAUUUGUCCAUUCUUUCACCAGUACCACACUGUCUUGAGUACUGUAGCUUUAUAGUAAGUCUUGAAGUUGGGUAGUGUCAGUCCUACAAUUUAGUUCCUGUCCUUCAAAAUUGUGUUGACCAUUCUGGGUCUUUUUCCUCUCCAUUUAAACUUUAGAAUCAAUUUCUCAAUAUCCAAAUUAUUUCCAUGGUGGUUCUGCUUAUGAAUCUCUGUUCUGGUAAGCAAUGACUUUCUGUACUCACCUGUCGGUCUCUCCAGUCUUGGGUGGAGUGGUUUGUCUGAUGUCAAUCCCUCUCCUACAGAUCCAAGAAGAGUUGUUGAUUUUUCAGUCUGUUCAGCUUUUUACUUGCUGUUAGGACAGAGUAGUAACUUUCAAGCCCUUUUUAUGCAGUACCAGAAACCUCCAGAAAAAAUCUGAUGGCAUGCAUUUAUUGAUACCUCUAUGUUUGACAAAAGCAUUGCUCAAUCAUUGGGAGACACAUAUUGCUGAAGAUGCCUUUCAGCCCCUAGACUCUAAUUCCCUUAUCUUUGGGCCUGGCUGCUGGAUAGCACUGUGACGUUCCUGUUCUGAAGCCGGUUGUGUCAUCAGCAGGCAAAACUUUGUGGGAAACAAAAUGGUGGCAGAUGUGAUGGGGACACACAAGUUGUGGAAAGGCUCAGCCUAGGGACAUUUAGUAUGUGGAAGUCAUUUGACUCAAGGAGUUAAAACCUAGAGCACAAAAACUGAAAGAAUUUACCUACCUCCAUCACCUUCUUUCACAGAUGAGGGAAAUGAGACCUGGAGAGAAUUUCCCUACCCACAGCUGGCGAAUGACAGAUCCAGGACUAAACUAGAGGUCAUAGGACUCAGUCUAAGGACUUCUCCACUAUGCCACCUUCUCACCUUCUUCUCACAUUUUCUCACCAACUGCCCUCCUUCUGGGCAAUCUUUGAGUAUUCUUUGUAGGAUUUCUACCGAGUCGUUUGCUCAAAGUUGGUUGGCAGCAGGAAUGAACUAAAUAUUGAGUCUGUUAUGACACAGAAUAAGAAAACAAUGCUAAGAAUUGUGGCUGAGAUCAGUGCUAUUCAGAGAGGCAGUCCACAACAAGAUGAAGAGCUGGUGUCAGACUAGAAACCAACACACAGCUUCCUUCAUUGAGAAGGUCUUGCUGUGAAAAACAAACCAGCUGAACUGAACAGUGUCCUUAGUGAUGUGGACGGUUUACAGUCUGCCACAAGCUCCUUAUCUCAUCACAGACCAGUGUGAUGACCACUGGCAGAGGACAGCAGUAAAAGCAUGGCUUCACUGCUGCUUAAGCCAACCUAUCCCCCAAAUAGGUCAUGUUGAUGGACAAAGACAUCAGAGAAGGCAAUAGUUCUUUUGUCCAGAAUGUAUUUCAUCGGUAGAGUCCAGAUCUGGGGCCAUUUUUAAGGAGGAUAAUGACAUUCCAGACAUCAUCCAACAAUGCCUGACUUAUAGAGCAUAAAUUUUGUGCGGAUAAAAGAGAAGCUGUUUUAAAAGUGCUUACUUACCACAGCGCACAGUAUAUGAUAAAGCACUAAAUAAAUAAAUAAAUACAUACAUAACUUUAUUACUACCGUAUCAUCAUCCGGUACCAGAGGCCUAUGUUAAGUGAGAAACAUGUGAAGAAUCUAGAGGUUUCCAGCUCGAAGUAAAGAAAACUUGGAGGCAUGCAAGUCCAUAUGUUCAAAGAACGAUCAUGUCGAAGAAAGCAGACCAAUUUUUUCAUUUGUUCAUUCAACUAAUAAAUCUCCUUGAGUGUUCUCUGUAUUUCCAGACUGUUUUCUAGGUACUUGCGAAGAUUGCUGUGGGCAAGAAUCAUGAGGUUCUGGGCCUCAUGUGGGGGUGGUUAUAAGACGAUACAUAAAAAUAAAAAUAAUUUCAGAAGAAACCAAGACAAGAUAAGACAAUAGGGUUGGGGAUUAGGAGAUGCCUCUUCAGACUGAGUAGUUGGAAGCACCCUCACUGAGGCGGUGAUGUUUGAGUUGAGUCCUGAAUGACAAUAAAGGCAGCCACAUGAAGAUCUAGGGUAGGAGGGAUUCCAGGCAGAGGAUCAUCAAACAUCACUCAAGGUGGUAAAGACUCUUGGCAGGCAGAUGUUAGCUAAAUAUAAGAAAGUUAGUUUUAACAAUAUAAGGGAGUGUUUUUAAAAACAACCUUUUCAGGGCGCCUGGGUGGCUCAGUCAUUAAGUGUCUGCCUUCAGCUCAGGUCAUGAUCCCGGGGUCCUGGGAUCGAGCCCCGCAUCAGGCUCCCUGCUCGGCAGGAAGCCUGCUUCUCCCUCUCCCACUCCCUAUGCUGGUGUUCCCUCUCUGUCUGUGUCUCUCUCUGUCAAAGAAAUAAAUAAAAUCUUUUAAAAAAACCAAACAACCUUUUCAUUUUACAACAGUUUUAGAUUUACAGAAAAAUUAUGAAGAUAGUAUAGAGUGUUCCAACAUAACCCACAUACAGAAUCCCCUGUAAUUAACAUUUAAUAUUUGUGUGGUACAUAUAUCACAAUUAAUGAACCAAUAUUGAUACAUUAUUAUUAACUGAAGUCCAUACUUUAUUUAAUUUCUUUAGUUUUUACCUAAUGUCCUCUUUCUGUUCCAGAUCCCACCCUGGGUGCCUUAUUGCAUUUAGUAGUUAUAACUCCUCUGGUUACUUUUAGUUUGACAGUUUCUCAGAUUUCCUUGUUUUUGACAACCUGGAAAGUUUUGAGGACCGUUGAUCCUGUAUUUUGUAAAAUGUCUCAAUUGGAAUUUGUUUUAUGUUGUUCUCACAAUUAUACUGUGGUUAUGGGUUCUUAGAAGGAAAACCACAGAAGUAAAGUACUGUUUCCUUGCAUCAUAUCAAGGAUACAUACUGUCUGGGAUGCCUGGGUGGCUCAGUUGGUUAAGCGUCUGCCUUCAGCUCAGGUCAUAAUCCCAGGGUCCUGGGAUUGAGUCCUGCAUCAGCUCCUUGCUCAGCGGGAAGCCUGCUUCUCCCUCUGCCUGCCGCUCCCCCUGCUUGUGUGCUCCCUCUCUCUCUCUGGCAAAUAAAUAAAUAAAUAAAAUCUUUAAAAAAAAAAAAAGGACACAUACUGUCAACAUGACUUAUCACGACUGGUGUUUACCUUGAUCACAUGGCUGAAGCAGUGUUUGUCGGAUUUCUCCACUGUAAAGUGACUCUUUUUUCCUCUUUCCAUACGGUACUCUUUGGAAGGAAGCCACUAUGCACCACCCAUGCUUAAGGAGUGGAGAGUUAAGCAUUCCCUCAUUGAGAUUGGAGUAUCUACACAAGUUAUUUGGAAUUUUUCUUCAUGGAACAUUUGUCUCUUCAUUCAUUUAUUUGUUAAAUCAUUUACUUAUAUUGUAGAAACUUAUGUGUAAUUAUUUCAUACUUCAGGUUAUAAUCCAACACUAAUUUGUUAUUUCAUUUCUCAACUUGUUCCAACUUUGGCCAUCGGGAACUCUUUCAGUUGGCUUCUGUGUCCCUAUGUUAUACCUCUAUCAGUGUGGGUUUUGAUGUUGUGUUUGUUUCUUUCUUGAGCACUUUUUUACUUUCUGGCACUGUAUGAAGCUCCAGGAUCACCUUGUAUAUUUCUUGCCCCAGUCCUAGAAUCACCCAUUUCUCCAAGUAGUCCUAGUUCCUUUUAUUGGAGAAAGGAAUUGAAAACCAAGCUCUGGGUGCUAUAUAUGCUUAUUGCUACUGAGGAGCUGUUGAUUUUAUGCCCUGUCAGCUGAUAGAGCAAGAUAUAUGUGUGUAUACUAACCUGGGUAUAUACACAUAUUUAUAAAUAUUUCUAUAUGUAACCAUCUGAAUCUUUAUGGAACAAAACAUGGAUUCAUAUUGAUGUCUCCAACUCUGAUUUAUUACCACAUGGCUCUUUCUAGACCUCCCUUUGCUUACCUGUAACUUCUCACUUCAGCCAAGAAAGCUGGCUCCCACCAUCUGCCAUCCAUUUACUUCAUCGUUCAAUUGCAAUAUACAUGUAUAGUGUUAUUAGAAUUGUGAACGUGUGCUCCUGUGGGAAACAACUUUAUCAGCCAGAAUACAGUGCUUAUGUGUAGUUUAAUGGCCAUUAGUCUUACAGACUCCACCUGUUCCCAGAGUUACUUAGGUCAGCACCUUCCCCCCAACCCCUUCAAGUACAGGUGUUUCGUAUAUUUGUAAUACAGUUAGAUUGUUUUGUUAGUCUGCAUUCCAUCCUGGAAUCCCCUCACCUCCUAAGUGAUUCUUUUUUAAUGCAUUACAUUAAGGUUCACUUUUUGUGCUGUAAAAUUCUAUGGGUUUGACAAACGUGUAGUGUCAUGUUUCCACCAUUACAGUAUCGUAAAGAAUAGUUUAUGCCCAGGCUGGCUCAGUCAGUAGAGCAUGCAACUCUUAGUUUCAGGGUCAUGAGUUUAAGCCCCACGUUGUGGGUAGAGUUUACUUAAUUUAAAAAAAAAAAAAAAAAAAAUAUAUAUAUAUAUAUAUAUAUAUAUAUAAAAGGAAUAGCUCAUGCUCUAAAAAAAAUUCCCUGUGCUUCAUGUAUUAAGGCUUACUGAGGUGUAACACUUGGACAGGAGAGAAAGCAAGAUUGGGCAGGAGAGCCUUCAGACUGUAGUUCUGACUAAGUCUCUGCCAGGCCAAUGAAGAGCUCCAAAGCAAACAUUAUCCACUAAGAGGAGUGCCCUGUUGGGCAGAAAUGGUCAGGUCUUUAUGCCACCACUUUGCUCAGCCUUUGGCUGGGGACUCCCAGAGAAGAUUGAAAAGCUGAGGCGGACCCUGAAGGCACUAACAGCUGGAGGUUAUCAGUUAACCACAUUCCUUGAAGCUGGGUUGCUAAGUCCUUUCUUGGAAAGGGAUCUGAGUGCUGCAAUUCUUCGCCUGCCAAAAAUAUCUCUGAAUAUUGCAAGCAGAGGUUGGCUGACCAUUGGUCACAAUUCUCAAUCAGAGGAAUUCUGAAUCAGGUGGGAUUUGGAAUCAGAUGAUCCCGUUGGCCCCUUUUAGCUCUUCGGCCCUAUGACUGUCCUCAGUAUGCUUUGACCAGGCAAUCCAGGUAUUAUGUUUCUCACAUUCAUUCCACUUUGCUCAAGCCUCUGUUUCCCUUCUUGCAAUGACCGUCUCAUGCCCUGUUCAGUCCUUGUGGUAGGAUCAGUCCCUUCCUCCCAGGGACUAUUCAUGGAGGGGCAGAGGACCCAAAUGAUGGAGUCUAUAGCUUCCACUUAUGCCGCCCACACCUUUUGGAUCCCAGAUGCUCAAAAAAUGGUUAUAGUAUCAAUAGCCAUGUGGAUCACGGAGUUGAAUACAGAUAAAAAAUAACUUGUGAGCCCAGGCAAGAAAGUUGAAAAAUUCAAAACUAAGGCUACCCAAAGCAAAUCCUGGUCUGAUACCACCCCUCCCUGGAGCACGGAAAAAGGUCAACAAGAGCACUCCCUGCUGAUCAGUGCACAUACUACAUCUGGUAAGGUGUCAUAUUUUUAUUUUCUUCCAUCCUAACUCCCAUGGGUAGCCCUGGAUUUUCACCUGCAGGUUCAGAAUCAUUGCAGUGCAAUUCUGGUCUUUCUCUGUUGGAAUGUGGAAGACUUUGAGACUGCUUGAGGAAAGGGUGACUCUGAGGUUUGGUUCCACCUGCACUUAAUCUUUGUAUUUAUCUUGCUUAUGGUGAAAAGCCUGUUUUAUUCUUGUAACUUGGCAGCUCUGGCUGGCUCACAAAUGUCCUAAGGUAAAUAAUUAAGGUCCUGACAUGCCCUCUAAGGACAGUCUUAUCUUUUAAGCCAAAAAACAUUUUACAUUUACUUUGUCUGUCUUUAGAGAUUUCCUUUGAAUGUCUGCUUCUGCUUUGCAACAUUCUUAGGCUCCACACAGCCUGCUGAUUUGCCCAGCCAGAAAACGAUAGUGUUUUGUUUUGUUUUUAUAUUUAUGCUGUUAUUUUGAUUCAAUGAACCAUCAUAUUGAUUUUUUAAUUCCAAAUUUAAUGCUCUCAAGUUUGAGCACUUCCUUGAACCUAGCCCUCAGGACUCUUGCCAACUUUCUGUUUUUUCUACCUGCUUUUUCAUUUCUUGGUGCAAUGACUAACGUUGGAGCCUGCUGGGUCAGAGAGUAGAAAUACAAUAUACUCUCCCUAUUCUCCAACCCUCAGCACCAGGCAGUGGGUUGGAAUCCAUGUUUAAGCACCAAAGGUUGGGGCGCCUGGCUGGUUCUGUUGGUAGAGCAUGCAACUCUUGACCUCAGGGUUGUGAGCUUGAGCCCCAUGUUAGAUGUAGAGAUUACUUAAAAAUAAAUACCCAAAGGCUGCUCUAGGUCUCUACCCCUGAGUUAGAUGAGACCCAAAAAAGUACCAAGAGUUAAUGUUCCAAGAAGACACUUGAGGUUACUGAGGAUGUUUGAAUUAUAGGCAGGUUCUGUCUCUGAAGACAAGGCCAGGGCACAAAAAAUAUCCUGCUUUAAAAACAAAAUCAAUAGAAAUCAAUCAAUCGAUCAAUCAAUAGAAAGCACACAAAAGAUAUCGUCCCGGAACCAUUAUGUAGGAAUAGAAAUGACAAGUAAAUGAAAUAAAAAACCAAAGAAGUUUUGUUGUUGUUGUUUUAAAUGCUUUCAUUGCUCUCCUGGAGAAUACAGACUGAAAUUGUGGACUUGGCAGCCGUUCCCACAGUAGGAGGGCAGAAUCACAGGUCUGAAGCACAGGAUUUCUUCUGGAAACUGCCCACUUAUUAUGGAUGACGGUUGUAUCACCUUAAAUGAGGGGAACAAAGACUGUGUGUGUGGGUGUGUGUGUGCGCGCGCCAGAAGUCAGCUUCACUAGCACAAAGUGUAACACAACAGUCAUACACAGAGUGGUGGAACCGUAGAGGAAUUUCUGAGAAUUAGCCUUAGGCAGGAGGCGUUUGGCUGGAAACUUGCACUGAAAAGCUACCUUGUAAAUAAGCAUGUGACUUUCACCUGACUUAAUUUUUUUCAGUCCUAAGGGCUCCAGUCAGAGCAAAGGUCCUGGUCUGGGUUGCUGGCAUGUUCACUCUUCAGGGUAAACUGAGAAUAAAUUCAAAGACAAAUCACCAAAGGCAGCGCCAUGACAAUAAUGUGAGGCGGAAUUAGGGUCAACAGGGUCAUUGUGAGGCUGACGGCUGGUCUCAGGCAACUCUCAAGUUCUGCAACACUUUUGCCAAGAUGAAUUCAGAGUAAGAUAGACAUCAAGGUAGGUGUCUGGGUGUAUCUGCUGAAUGAAUGAGUGAAUGAAUGAAUGAAUGCAUAAAUGAAUGAAUCACUCAGGGCAGGACUGAGGGAGAAGAGAAUGGAAACAUUCAAUUGGAGAAAGUUUAUUUGGAAUAGAGCAUAGAUUUGCAUGGGUGGAAUGAUGGCUGGGGGUAGAUUUUAUGGACACAUUCAGCAGGAACUAUACUUCAGCCCUGGGAUGUAUUAGGGUUAGGGUUUGUUUUUUUUUUUUAAGAUUUUAUUAAUUUAUUUGAGAGAGAGAAAGAGAUCAGGGGAGGAGCGAGGGAGGAGUACAAGCAGAAACUGCGCUGAGCGUGGAGCCCUUCUCGGAGCUCGAUCUCACAACCCUGAGAUCAUGACUUGAGAUGACACCAAGAAUUGGACGCUUAAGCGACUAAGCCACCCAGGUGCCCCUAAUUUAUACACACUCUUUAUCUAAAGAGUAGGUGGGAUGAUUGCUGGCAGGGUCACUCAGUAAUACCAUUCUUCCAGUACAGAUGGUUCAACUACAAGAUAAUAGGACGUUUUUUCUCCGUAAUUUAAUGACCAUAAUAUAAUCAGGAUUUGCUUUGGCUGAGUUUUUCAGAAAUCCAAAAUAAUAGUGGUUAAGCAAUAUGUAAGUUUAUUUUUUCUUUCACAUAAAAGGUCUGUAGGGCAGACUUAGGGGCUCCAUGGUGUCAUGGAUCCAGGCUCCUUCAACCUCAAGAAGUAUGGCUGCAUGAACUGAGCUAUCCCAUCUACAUUCCAGCCGGCAGGGGAAAGAAAGAGCCAAAAAGGGCUCACCAUCUAUCUUAGUCUUUUUGGGCUGCUAUAACAAAAUACCACAGAAUGUGUAGCUUAUACAUGUAUUUCUCACAGUUUUGGAGGCUGAAAGUCCAAGAUCAGUGUGCCAGCAAAGAUGAGGGCUCUCUUCCAGGUUCAUAGCCAGUGCUUUCUAGCUAUUGUCCUCAAAUGGGGGAAGGGGCAAGGAAUCUCUCUGGAGCCUCUUUUAUAAGGGCACCAAUCUCAUUCAUGAGGGCUCCACCCUCAUGAUUUAAGCCCUCCCCAAAUGUUCCAUCUCCUAAUACCAUCACUCUUGGGGAUUAUUCAACACAUGAAUUUGAGGGAGACACAAACAUUCAGCCCAUAGUACCUCCCAUUAAUGAUACUUCAUAUAAGUUGAACUUGGCACUUUUAUUUUUAUCCCAUUGACCAAAACUUAGUUACAUGGCCAGUCUGGGAAAUGUAGCUAUUAUCCAUAAUAGCUAAAAGUCAGGAUUUUUUUUGUUUGUUUUACUAAGAGAGAAGAGAAAAACAGAUAUUAUGGAAUAUUAGUCUCUGUCACCUUAAGAUAUUACAGACUUAGUGCAAUUAUGCUUCCAUUGCUCAAUGCCCUUAAAAUUGUCUUCAGGGCACAUACCAAAUUAUUCUCAGUAUUCUAGAUGAGUCUUUAUCCUGUGGAGGUGGAUUUGAUUUUUGAAACUGGGGUCACUCAGGACAACUGUGAUGAGUAAGGUGGGUGAUAAAGCAUAAAAAUAAUAUACAGGCUUCUACCUCUGGAUAUUAUGGACCAUUCUGGGUAUUGUGACAAUUCUUGCAGAAAAUAACUCUAAAACCUGGACAUCAUAUGUAAAGUGACUACCGGAAGGUACUGAAGAGGAAAUGGAAGUAGAUUCUGGUGUGGUAUGAGCUUGAGUAAUUUUGGUUGCUCUACCUUAAGGUUUAUUAUUCUUUCAUUUAACACAUCCAUUUGGUAGUUAAGUCAAUCUGUUGAAUUUUUUUCAGAAAUUGCACUUUUCAUCUCUAGAUGAAGAAGUACAUUAUUAACUUUAAAUGGGCUAUGGAAAGUUAAGGAUGUAUUUUAUAAUUUAUAGGUCAACCGCUGAAAUAAAAAUGUAAACACUGUAGCUAAAAAGCCAUCAAUAAAACAAAAAUGGAAUAAUUUAUAAAAUAUUAAAGUAAUAUUUUUUAAAAGGCAGGAAAUGGGAAAUGGAGAAGUAAAUGUCAGGAGAGAAAAGUAGAAAACAAAAAUAUAAAAUGAUAGAACCACGGCACCUGGGUGGCUCAGUGAGUUAAGCACCUGCCUUUGGCUCAAGUCACGAUCCCAGGGUCCUGGGGUCAAGCCCCGAGUUGGGCUCCCUGCUCAGCCAAGAGUCUGCUUCUCCCUCUGCCUGCCACUCUCCUGCUUGUACACUCUCUCUCUCUCUUUCUCUCUCUCUGUCAAAUAAAUAAAAUCUUUAAAAUAAAAUGAUAGAACCCAACCCAACCAUAUCAGUAAUUACAUUAAAUGUUUAUAACCUAAACACUCCAAUCAAAAGACUAAAAUUGAUGAUUAUUUUUAAAUGGAUUAAAAAGCCAAAUGUAACACCUCAGUGAAAAAGAUAUAUAUAGGGGUACCUAGGUGGCUCAGUCGGUUGAGCAUCUGCCCUUGGCUCAGGUCAUGAUCCCAGGGUCCUGGGAUUGAGCCCCGCAUUGGGCUCCCUGCUCAGUGGGGAGUCUGCUUCUCCCUCUCCCUCUCUCUCUGUGUCAAAUAAAUAAAUAAAAUCAUAUAUAUAUAUAUAUGGCAAAUAAACAUAUGAAAGAUGUGCCACAUCAUGUGUCAUCAGGAGUCUACAAAUUAAAACAAAGGGAUACGACUGCUCACCUAUUACAAUGGCAAAGAUUCAGACACUAGUGACACUAAAUACUGGUGAGGAUGUGGAUAACAGGAACUCUCAU